AUUGAACGCUGGCGGCAUGCCUUACACAUGCAAGUCGAACGGCAGCGGGGGAGAAGCUUGCUUUUCCUGCCGGCGAGUGGCGAACGGGUGAGUAAUACAUCGGAACGUGCCCUGUAGUGGGGGAUAACUAGUCGAAAGAUUAGCUAAUACCGCAUACGACCUGAGGGUGAAAGUGGGGGACCGCAAGGCCUCAUGCUAUAGGAGCGGCCGAUGUAUGAUUAGCUAGGUGGUGGGGUAAAGGCCUACCAAGGCGACGAUCAGUAGCUGGUCUGAGAGGACGAUCAGCCACACUGGGACUGAGACACGGCCCAGACUCCUACGGGAGGCAGCAGUGGGGAAUUUUGGACAAUGGGCGAAAGCCUGAUCCAGCAAUGCCGCGUGUGUGAAGAAGGCCUUCGGGUUGUAAAGCACUUUUGUCCGGAAAGAAAUGGCUCUGGUUAAUACCUGGGGUCGAUGACGGUACCGGAAGAAUAAGGACCGGCUAACUACGUGCCAGCCGCCGCGGUAA
RNAcentral lists this ribosomal RNA (508 nucleotides) under uncultured bacterium. RNAcentral describes it as "partial 16S ribosomal RNA". It matches the Rfam family "Bacterial small subunit ribosomal RNA", at positions 30 to 523 of the family's 1533-position model. The record is from RNAcentral.